GCGCAAGCGAAUUAAGGGCGCAUGGGGGAUACCUAGGCUCUCAGAGGCGAUGAAGGACGUGAUAAGCUGCGAAAAGCUUCGGGGAUUGGCACAUACAAAUUGAUCCG
Molecule: ribosomal RNA, 107 nt
Filed under: Dyadobacter sp. CY343
Lineage: Bacteria; Pseudomonadati; Bacteroidota; Cytophagia; Cytophagales; Spirosomataceae
Description: partial 23S ribosomal RNA
Rfam family: Bacterial large subunit ribosomal RNA
Source: RNAcentral